UUAAGGGCAUGUGCACACCUUGAUCGCACAUCCACCUCUCACCCCCCUGUGCACUAUCUGUAGCUUGGGAUGAUCACAAAGUUGGAAACAGCUUUGAAAGCCCUUGCUAUGAAUUUUUAUAUACACCAUACAAAAAAGUUAUWGAAUGUAUUAUAUAGCGUGUAAUAGCGCGAAUAAAUACAACUUUCAGCAACGGAUCUCUUGGCUCUCGCAUCGAUGAAGAACGCAGCGAAAUGCGAUAAGUAAUGUGAAUUGCAGAAUUCAGUGAAUCAUCGAAUUUUUGAACGCACCUUGCGCUUCUUGGUAUUCCGAGGAGCAUGCCUGUUUGAGUGUCAUGAAAUCUUCAACUGCUUCAGCUCUUGUAGCUGUAAGUGAAGUUGGAAUUUGGAGGAUAAUUGCUGGCGUAACUUAGGUUGCUUGUUGGCUCCUCUUAAAUAAAUGAGCUUUCCGGUAGAUCAUGGUGAAGUAACACUGAUAUGA
RNAcentral lists this ribosomal RNA (480 nucleotides) under Polyozellus multiplex. RNAcentral's name for it is "eukaryotic LSU rRNA". The stretch from base 182 to 335 matches the Rfam family "5.8S ribosomal RNA". Lineage: Eukaryota; Fungi; Basidiomycota; Agaricomycetes; Thelephorales; Thelephoraceae. The record is from RNAcentral.